RNAcentral lists this ribosomal RNA (386 nucleotides) under uncultured bacterium. RNAcentral describes it as "bacterial SSU rRNA". It matches the Rfam family "Bacterial small subunit ribosomal RNA", at positions 29 to 417 of the family's 1533-position model. The record is from RNAcentral.
AUUGAACGCUGGCGGCAUGCCUAACACAUGCAAGUCGAACGGUAACAGGCCCUUCGGGGCGCUGACGAGUGGCGGACGGGUGAGUAAUGCUUAGGAACCUGCCUAGUAGUGGGGGAUAACCCGGGGAAACUCGGGCUAAUACCGCAUACGUCCUACGGGAGAAAGCGGGGACCUUCGGGCCUCGCGCUAUUAGAUGAGCCUAAGUCCGAUUAGCUAGUUGGUAGGGUAACGGCCUACCAAGGCGACGAUCGGGAGCUGGUCUGAGAGGACGACCAGCCACACUGGGACUGAGACACGGCCCAGACUCCUACGGGAGGCAGCAGUGGGGAAUAUUGGACAAUGGGCGCAAGCCUGAUCCAGCGAUGCCGCGUGUGUGAAGAAGGCCU